GGCGCGAGCAGGUGCGAAAGCAGGUCAUAGUGAUCCGGUGGUUCUGAUUGGACGGGCCAUCGCUCAACGGAGAAAAGGUACUCCGGGGAUAACAGGCUGAUACCGCCCAAGAGUUCAUAUCGACGGCGGUGUUUGGCACCUCGAUGUCUGCUCAUCACAUCCUGGGGCUGAAGUAGGUCCCAAGGGUAUGGCUGUUCGCCAUUUAAAGUGGUACUCGAGCUGGGUUUAGAACGUCGUGAGACAGUUCGUUCCCUAUCUGACGUGGGCGAUGGAG
RNAcentral lists this ribosomal RNA (274 nucleotides) under Klebsiella pneumoniae. Its description in RNAcentral is "partial 23S ribosomal RNA". It matches the Rfam family "Bacterial large subunit ribosomal RNA", at positions 2386 to 2659 of the family's 2925-position model. The record is from RNAcentral. Lineage: Bacteria; Pseudomonadati; Pseudomonadota; Gammaproteobacteria; Enterobacterales; Enterobacteriaceae.